Molecule: ribosomal RNA, 439 nt
Filed under: uncultured bacterium
Lineage: Bacteria
Description: partial 16S ribosomal RNA
Rfam family: Bacterial small subunit ribosomal RNA
Source: RNAcentral
CCUACGGGAGGCAGCAGUAAGGAAUCUUGCGCAAUGGGCGAAAGCCUGACGGAGCAACGCCGCGUGGGCGAUGAAGGCCUUCGGGUCGUAAAGCCCUUUUCUGUGGGACGAUAAUGACGGUACCACAGGAAUAAGCCACGGCUAACUACGUGCCAGCAGCCGCGGUAAUACGUAGGUGGCUAGCGUUAUCCGGAUUCACUGGGCGUAAAGAGCGCGUAGGCGGUGUGCUAAGUUGGACGUGAAAGCCCCCGGCUUAACCGGGGGAGGUCGUCCAAUACUGGUGCACUUAAGGGUGGACGGGGAAAGUGAAAUUCCCGGUGUAGUGGUGAAAUGCGUAGAUAUCGGGAGGAACACCGGUGGCGAAGGCGACUUCCGGGCCUGGUUCUGACGCUGAGGAGCGAAAGCUGGGGGAGCGAACGGGAUUAGAUCCCCCAGUAGU